AUUGCAGCCCCUACAGGAGGGCAAUUAGGGUGGAGGGCAAGUGCACUGUAGUGCACACGCACUGAAACGUGUGCAUUUAGUUUGAAACUUCUUAGCAGUGACCUAAUCUAAAAAGGGGCUACAGGAAGGCUGAAGAAGGACUUUAUAUGGGGACACGUACUGAAAGAGCUAGGAGUAAUGACUUUAAACUGAAAGAGGGUAGAUUCAGAUUAGAUGUAAGGAAGAAGUUUUUCACUGUGAGGGUCAUGAGGCACCAGAAUAGGUUUCCCAGAGAGGCUGUGGACAUCUCAUGCUCUGAAGUGUUUAAGGCCAGAUUGGUAGGACUUUUGAGCAAUCUGUUCUAGUGAAAGGCAUACACAACUUGCUGUUGAACGGGGACUGACACACAUAACUUACUGUAAGACUGGUGCUAUCACCAGUUAAGCAUGCUGCAACGAUGGCAACCGAGGAACUGUGACCAUGUAUGAGACUGGAAAAGGUAUAAUGCCUCAAAAGUAAUAGGGAAGUUUGGAGCUCCCUCACCAGUUAAGCCUUUCAGAAUCAGCAUCUGGAUCUGCAGUGGGAUCCAUAAAAGAACCACCUCCUCUGCAAAACCAGAUCAAAACACUAUCAUCAAAGCAGAACAGGAUUAGCAGAGACAUGAUUACUUUUCAAUUUCUUAUGUGAGAAAGUCUCAUCUAACAGCAUGAACACAGUCCUGGAAUAUAAAUAUAGAGAGCAAACAGACCUGAACCAAGUCUUCCUCUCUGAUGGUUAAAAAAGCCCCACAUGAGCAAAAUGCAAUAAUAAAUGAACUGACUGGCAUAAAUCUCUGCAACAGUGCAGAUCAAAUAGUGCCUGUGAGAAGUAAUCAUUAAUAAAGAAUCUCAGCAGCAGAUGCCAAAGAAUGAUGAAAAUCUUCAGAAAAUUUCAGGUGAGCAAUAAAACAAGUUACUGUUACAAGAAUAACAGCUUUCCACAUGAAAGCAAAAUGUAUCUAUUCACUGAAGAUCUCGUAAUGUAUGUUUCUCCACAGUGCCAGUAUUGCUACACCGAGAGAGGAAAGGUAUCUUUUAAAUGAACUAUUGCAGUAAGAUCUGACAGCCUUUGGUGACUUGGGAAAUCAACACUGGGAAUCUUUAGUCAAGUCCUGCAAAAUAGGUCUAGAAGUUCAAAUAAUAUAUGGUCAAAGCUGUCAAAAGGAAAAUUACUCUGGCAGUAAAGAAUAAAUAAAUAAAGCCCCAAAGUGAUCCCCUCUUUCUUCCAUAAUUGCUUCUUGUUACAGACACGGCCGCUGAGUGCUCAGAGGAGAUUCCCACAAGAUAAGCAAUAGAGGGUAUCUUCCUCUCUAUAAAUUGUUCCAUGAAGUAAAUUUUACACAGAGAAGAUUUAUAAACUGAAAGUGCUCAAAAGCUUUUGCUGUAUGAAGCUCAGUGGAAAUAAAGUUCUACUUUAAAAUUCUACAAAAGAGCAACAAAGGAAAGCGCCUAAUGCCAAAGUUGAAGAAGGAGUCACUUUCUCUCAACAUCUAUACUAAUGUAUUAUUUAUAUUUGAAUCUCAAGUGCCCUUUUAUUUACAAGAAACUCAGUUCUUUGUAAAGGACUAUCAUUUGUGCUAUACAAAGCUUUCAUUCCCAUCUAAAUGCAUCAUAAUAAUAAGCCACAAGUUACACACAGGCUUUUCACCUUGGAGGCAAGCUAAGGCCAUUGACAGCAAUAAUGUGCUUUUGCAUAGCCUGACAUUUUUCCUGCUUUAGCUGUGGUGCUCACGUUGCUUCAGGUGACCAUGUCUCUAUCAAGAAGACUGUAAUUCUCACUUUGUUCUACA
Molecule: long non-coding RNA, 1807 nt
Organism: Pogoniulus pusillus (Red-fronted tinkerbird)
Lineage: Eukaryota; Metazoa; Chordata; Aves; Piciformes; Lybiidae
Exons: 2
Source: RefSeq, a predicted model, not a curated record